GCCCUGGUGGCACAAUGGUUAAGCGUUCGGCUGCUAACCGAAAGGUCAGUGGUUCUAACCCACACGUUGGCU
This 72-nucleotide transfer RNA is filed under the name Loxodonta africana (African savanna elephant). It matches the Rfam family "tRNA". From Rfam's summary of the family: Transfer RNA (tRNA) molecules are approximately 80 nucleotides in length. The record is from Rfam by way of RNAcentral. Lineage: Eukaryota; Metazoa; Chordata; Mammalia; Proboscidea; Elephantidae.